Molecule: long non-coding RNA, 1246 nt
Filed under: Homo sapiens (human)
Lineage: Eukaryota; Metazoa; Chordata; Mammalia; Primates; Hominidae
Description: HSALNT0318660
Source: RNAcentral
GCCUGCUGUCAUGCAACGUGUCUUUGCUCCUCCUUCACCUUCCGCCAUGAUUGUGAGGCUUCCCCAGCCAUGUGGAAACAUAUUCGCAGAGCACCCACUAGGUGCCAGUAAAUGUAUGAGAAGUCCUGUGGAAUAAGACUGAAGUUGUCCUUGCCUUCAAGCAACUUGCAAUUGCCUAAGAACACAGUUUAAAACCACAAAACUAAGCCUUGGAAAUCACAUGCUGUCAUUUCUGCGAUCGGUCAUAACCAGUCCUGAUUCCAUGUUAGAGGAGACUACAUAAGGACACAGGUACCAGAAGAUGAAAAAUUUGGAGUCUAGUGAAAAGAAGUGACUUGCUCAAAAUCACACAGCACAUGAAGAACAGAGCCUCUAUGAUGAAUUUCUUGACAGAUCAAGAACUACUUUGGACUUUAUGUCUUAUUACUCAAGGAAGACAUUUCCUAAGCUACAGAGGCCAUAGAUAGUGAUUCCUCUGAUGGAUCUUGGCAAAGUAAGUGGAAAACUUUCUGGAAAGAAUUCACAACUCUAGAUGUCAUUAAGAACAUUUGGGAUUCCUGGGAGGGGAUCAAAAUAUCAUUAACGGGAAUUUGGAAGAAGUUGACUCCAACCCUCAUGGAUGAAAUCGAGGGAUUCAAGACUUCAGUGGAGGAAGUAACUGCAGACAUGGUGGAAAUAGUGAGAGAACUAGAAUUAGAAGUGAAGCCUGAAUAUGUAACUGAAUUGCUGCAAUCUUACGAUGAAAUUUUAAGAGAUAACGAGUUGUUUCUUAUGAAUGAGCAAAGAAAAUGGUUUUUUGAGAUGGAAUCUACUGCUGGUGAAGAUGCUCUAAACAUUGGUGAAAUGACUAUUUAGAAUAUUACAUAAACUUAGUUGAUAACAUGGUGGCAGGGAUUGAGAAGAUUGACUCCAAUUUAGGGAGAGAAUUACUACUGCAGGUAAAAUGCUGUCGGACAGCGUUGCAUGCUACAGAGAAAUCUUUCAUCAGAGGAAAAAUCAAUUGAUGGAGAAAACAUUAUUGUCAUCUUAUUUUAAGAAAUUACCACAGCCACCCCAACCUUCAGCAACCAUCUCUGAUGAGUCAGCAGCCAUCAACAUCAAGGCAAGACCCUCCACCAGCAAAAUGAUUACAACUUGCUAAAUGCUCAGAUUAUUAUUAGCAUAUUUUAGCAAUAAAAUAUUUUUAUUUUUAAGCUGAUAUAAGUCUUUUGAGGUACAGCCUGGCACAAAAAGGAUGAGAUUUGUG